RNAcentral lists this ribosomal RNA (465 nucleotides) under uncultured Klebsiella sp. RNAcentral describes it as "bacterial SSU rRNA". It matches the Rfam family "Bacterial small subunit ribosomal RNA", at positions 338 to 795 of the family's 1533-position model. The record is from RNAcentral. Lineage: Bacteria; Pseudomonadati; Pseudomonadota; Gammaproteobacteria; Enterobacterales; Enterobacteriaceae.
CCUACGGGCGGCAGCAGUGGGGAAUAUUGCACAAUGGGCGCAAGCCUGAUGCAGCCAUGCCGCGUGUGUGAAGAAGGCCUUCGGGUUGUAAAGCACUUUCAGCGGGGAGGAAGGCGUUAAGGUUAAUAACCUUGUCGAUUGACGUUACCCGCAGAAGAAGCACCGGCUAACUCCGUGCCAGCAGCCGCGGUAAUACGGAGGGUGCAAGCGUUAAUCGGAAUUACUGGGCGUAAAGCGCACGCAGGCGGUCUGUCAAGUCGGAUGUGAAAUCCCCGGGCUCAACCUGGGAGCUGCAUUCGAAACUGGCAGGCUAGAGUCUUGUAGAGGGGGGUAGAAUUCCAGGUGUAGCGGUGAAAUGCGUAGAGAUCUGGAGGAAUACCGGUGGCGAAGGCGGCCCCCUGGACAAAGACUGACGCUCAGGCGCGAAAGCGUGGGGAGCAAACAGGAUUAGAUACCCUUGUAGUC